GCCAAUGUAGCUCAGCGGUAGAGCGUUCGUUUCAUAAGCGAAAAGUCGAAGGUCCGACUCCUUCCAUUGGCA
This 72-nucleotide transfer RNA is filed under the name Patescibacteria group bacterium. RNAcentral describes it as "tRNA-Met". It matches the Rfam family "tRNA". Rfam says of the family: Transfer RNA (tRNA) molecules are approximately 80 nucleotides in length. Their secondary structure includes four short double-helical elements and three loops (D, anti-codon, and T loops). RNAcentral also lists the same sequence under 1 other name. The record is from RNAcentral.